GUGAUUCAUAUGUAACUUUUCUGAAUCUGCAUGUACCUUUACGUCGGCGAUGGUUCAUUUCAAAUUUCUUGUCCCUCAUCAAGGUUUCGAUGGGUAGUGAGUAGUAGGCCUACCACGCUUUUUACAGGGUAACAGGCGAAUUAGGGUUCGAUUCCGCGAGAGGGAGCCUGAGAAACGGUACCACAUCUAAGGAAGGCAGCAGGCGCGCAAAUUUACCCAAUCCUGAUUCAGGGAGGUAUGUGACAAUAUAAUAUACAAUCCAGGACGUUCGGUCUGUGGUAAUUGGAAUGAGAACAAUUUAAAUCUCUUAUCGUAGGAACAAUUGGAGGGCAAGUCUGGUGCCAGCGAGCCGCGGUAAUUCCAGCUCCCAAUAGCGUAUAUUAAGUUGUUGCAGUUAAAUAGCUCGUAGUUGAAUCUUGGGGCUGGAAUUUGGCGGUCGCGUCUUUGACAGUGUACUGUCGGCGGUUCUUUUACUUGUGGGGAACGUAUGUGCCCUUUGCGGGGUGUGUACGGGAACCAUGGCUGUUACUUUGAACAAAAUUAGAGUGUUUAAAGCGGGCGUAAGCUUGUUACAUUA
Molecule: ribosomal RNA, 577 nt
Filed under: uncultured fungus
Lineage: Eukaryota; Fungi
Description: bacterial SSU rRNA
Rfam family: Eukaryotic small subunit ribosomal RNA
Source: RNAcentral